CUACGGGUCGCACCAGUGGGGAAUAUUGGACAAUGGGGGAAACCCUGAUCCAGCAAUGCCGCGUGUGUGAAGAAGGCCUGCGGGUUGUAAAGCACUUUCGGUUGGGAGGACUGCUUCUAGCACUAAUAUUGUUGGAAGUUGACGUUACCUUCAGAAGAAGCACCGGCUAACUCCGUGCCAGCAGCCGCGGUAAUACGGAGGGUGCAAGCGGUAAUCGGAAUUACUGGGCGUAAAGCGCGCGUAGGCGGCUAGAUCAGUCGGGUGUGAAGGCCCCGGGCUUAACCUGGGAACUGCAUCCGAUACUGUCUAGCUUGAGUACAGGAGAGGAGAGUGGAAUUCCACAUGUAGCGGUGAAAUGCGUAGAUAUGUGGAGGAACACCAAUGGCGAAGGCAGCUCUCUGGCCUGAUACUGACGCUGAGGUGCGAAAGCGUGGGGAGCAAACAGGAUUAGAUACCCGGGUAGUC
RNAcentral lists this ribosomal RNA (465 nucleotides) under uncultured bacterium. RNAcentral's name for it is "partial 16S ribosomal RNA". It matches the Rfam family "Bacterial small subunit ribosomal RNA", at positions 339 to 795 of the family's 1533-position model. The record is from RNAcentral.